CGCUGGCGCAGUUUCCUACAUCCACAAUUUCCCACUGUGUUCAAAGAAAGAGUGGAGGAUUUUCAAAGGACAAGCCAAGCAGGAAACUAAGAAAUGAUACUAGGAGGAAAGACAACACAAUACCUUCCUGGGAGCUGUAGAAUCAGAUAUCUCUGCUGGUCCAUAUUUUGGAGUUAUGGAACAACCUGCCCACUCAUUCUGGAAUUGUAGGACUUCUUCCUAAGGUAAAACCAUUAAAAUCAUACUUAAGAGAGUCUCUUGUCAAAUGAGAACUCUUGGAACUUCCUUUUCCAGUGACUUUAUUCAGACAUAAAAUAAUCC
RNAcentral lists this long non-coding RNA (321 nucleotides) under Fukomys damarensis (Damara mole-rat). RNAcentral's name for it is "lncRNA (ENSFDAG00000022667.1)". The record is from RNAcentral. Lineage: Eukaryota; Metazoa; Chordata; Mammalia; Rodentia; Bathyergidae.